GUUAGGCAUAGUGAGGCACACCUGUAAUCCCAGCAACUCAGGAGGCUGAGGCAGGAGAAUCACAAGUGCAAAGCCAGCCUGGGCAAUUUAGUGAGACCCUGUCUCAA
This 107-nucleotide small RNA is filed under the name Marmota monax (woodchuck). Lineage: Eukaryota; Metazoa; Chordata; Mammalia; Rodentia; Sciuridae. The record is from RNAcentral.